This 353-nucleotide long non-coding RNA is filed under the name Elaeis guineensis (African oil palm). Its description in RNAcentral is "long non-coding RNA (EGUI_LNC000686)". Lineage: Eukaryota; Viridiplantae; Streptophyta; Magnoliopsida; Arecales; Arecaceae. The record is from RNAcentral.
AAGCACUGGCCAGAGGUGCCUCCACAAGUGGAGGAUAUUUUGGCAUAGAUUCAGAGCCAAGGGGUGCAGGGAUAGGUGUCAAAUUCCAGCACCAGCUGUGAUGAUGCAUUCCAUAGAUCUAUGUGGGGUUACGGGUACCAUGGAUCGAGAUUUUGGGGAGACCAUAUCAGAUGGAUUAUUUAUAGCAAGAGAGGAUCUAGAUACCUAUGAGGAGGUGGUGACGAGCCUCGGAUGAGAUAGGUGGAUCUGAGCCUUGGGAGAGGUUUGAGCUAUAGUUCCUUCGAAUGAAGUUGAAGCGAUGGUUGGUGCAGGGGCAGAAGAGGAUAAUGGCUAGGAUGGAAUUUUUUAGGGUU